GCAUAAUUGGUGACCUUGGGAGUUGGUUUAGUAGGUGUUCUGACCCAGGCGAGAGGGCAUUUGACCCUUGGACCGUCUUUGAUAGGCAGUGGAGGGCCUUUUGGAAGCCUAAUUUGAGCAGCAUUGGGGCUUCGUUGAGCCGAUUUUGGGACUUCCUUUGGACUGUUUGGAGCUUAGUAAUAGAGCCAUCUACAGGAGAGG
This is a long non-coding RNA of Ananas comosus (pineapple), 201 nucleotides long. RefSeq lists it as uncharacterized. Lineage: Eukaryota; Viridiplantae; Streptophyta; Magnoliopsida; Poales; Bromeliaceae. The record is from RefSeq and is a predicted model, not a curated record. The transcript has 4 exons.